CCCUUAGAUGUCCUGGGCCGCACGCGCGUUACACUGAUGCAUUCAACGAGCUUAUAACCUUGGCCGAGAGGCCUGGGCAAUCUUGUUAACGUGCAUCGUGAUAGGGAUAGAUUAUUGAAAUUAUUAAUCUUGAACGAGGAAUUCCUAGUAAACGCAGAUCAUCAAUCUGCAUUGAUUACGUCCCUGCCCUUUGUACACACCGCCCGUCGCUACUACCGAUUGAAUGGCUUAGUGAGGCCUCCGGAUUGGCUUUGGGGAGCCGGCAACGGCACCUCAUGGCUGAGAAGUUGGUCAAACUUGGUCAUUUAGAGGAAGUAAAAGUCGUAACA
This 329-nucleotide ribosomal RNA is filed under the name uncultured eukaryote. RNAcentral describes it as "partial 18S ribosomal RNA". It matches the Rfam family "Eukaryotic small subunit ribosomal RNA", at positions 1470 to 1796 of the family's 1831-position model. The record is from RNAcentral.